GAUACUGGCGGACGGGUGAGUAACACGUGGGUAACCUGCCUGUAAGACUGGGAUAACUCCGGGAACCGGGGCUAAUACCGGAUGCUUGAUUGAACCGCAUGGUUCAAUUAUAAAAAGGUGGCUUUUAGCUACCACUUACAGAUGGACCCGCGGCGCAUUAGCUAGUUGUGAGGUAACGGCUCACCAAGGCAACGAUGCGUAGCCGACCUGAGAGGGUGAUCGGCCACACUGGGACUGAGACACGGCCCAGACUCCUACGGGAGGCAGCAGUAGGGAAUCUUCCGCAAUGGACGAAAGUCUGACGGAGCAACGCCGCGUGAGUGAUGAAGGUUUUCGGAUCGUAAAACUCUGUUGUUAGGGAAGAACAAGUACCGUUUCGAAUAGGGCGUACCUUGACGGGUACCUAACCAGAAAAGCCACGGCUAACUACGUGCCAGCAGCCGCGGUAAUACG
This 453-nucleotide ribosomal RNA is filed under the name Bacillus licheniformis. RNAcentral's name for it is "bacterial SSU rRNA". It matches the Rfam family "Bacterial small subunit ribosomal RNA", at positions 91 to 527 of the family's 1533-position model. Lineage: Bacteria; Bacillati; Bacillota; Bacilli; Caryophanales; Bacillaceae. The record is from RNAcentral.